This 386-nucleotide non-coding RNA is filed under the name Cryptosporidium parvum. The record is from RNAcentral. Lineage: Eukaryota; Apicomplexa; Conoidasida; Eucoccidiorida; Cryptosporidiidae.
UUAAUCCGAAUCGAUAAGGAGCUGACCAAGACCAGUCUUCAUUUGGUAAAGAAAAAUUACUUUGAGUACUCAACUCUAAUUUAUCGAAAUUUUUUAUGACAAAUAUCAAGAGCCAAUAUACAAAUCCUGGAAGUAAAUAUUUCAAGUGGUGAUUUAAGUAGUAUUGAAAGUUCAUAACUCUAAUUUUUACCAACUCCCAUCCAUGAGAAUAGAGAUAUAAGGGAAUUGCAAUGUUAAGCAAAUCCACUGUGUAGUAACUGAGAGUAGCAUUUACAUCAAUAGCUACUGGGAAUAUAACACCAUUAUACAUGACUAUAUGUGAACAGUGGAAAAAAAAAAUGAUCCAUAGAGAAAUGCCAAUUUGUAUGGUUAAUUGAGAUUCAAGG